GUACACCUGACACAUUUUAAUUGCUCUUAUAGAAACUGGUUUUGCUGUUUGGGGCUAGAUUAUUUUUUUCUUUUUUGUGUGUGUGACCUGAGGAUUGAGCCCAGGGCUUUAGUGCUAUACCACUGAGCUACACCCCAGCCCUAGGGAUAAUGUUGCAAAUGAUACAGAUUAGCCUAGUGCAGUGACACCCAGCUCCUCAGGAGGCUGAAGCAGGAGAAUCAUAAAUUUCAAGGCCAAUAUGAACAAUUUAGCAAGAUCCUGUCUCCAAAUAAACAGGACUAGCAAUGUAGCUCAGUGGUAGAGAACCCAUGGGUUCACUCCCCAGUAGCCUCCUCCCCCAAAAUAGGCUAAAGCUGAACACACUGGCUCUUGUCUGUAAUCCCAGCUACUUGGGAGGCUAAGGCAGGAGGAGGAUCUUGAGUUUGAGACUAACUUGGGCAAUGUAGUGAGUGAGGACCACCCCCCCAUCUCAAAAAAGAAAAAAUUAUAGAGGGUUCCUAGUAGAUGUGGUUAGUUAUCAUUUGAACUCAUUUUAAAUUACACUGAAAAUCACAAUACCUAAGCAUUUGUUUACACCUAAAUAAUUGGUUUUAACCUUAUUCAGGAGAUCGAUUCAUUCAGCUUUGGUGGGGUGGGAGUGGAAAAAGUGAGAACAUGAGAAAAUUUUUCUAGUUCUGGCCCACAGAUAGUUUUUCUUUCUUAAAUUAUUUUUAUUAGUGGGUGAAAAAGUCAGCUAUUCAUUUUGUUAAUCCUUUUCCAGGAUGAAGUUGUUUCGGCACACACAGCAUUCUAGGGGCUCAGUAAGUUCUAAGAACAUUGAGAAGGCCUGAAUCUCAAUUUUUUGACAGAAUUGACUGCACCUACAUACCACCCUGUUAAUCAAAAGUAUAUGUUUUCAUUUUAACCUACCUGCAGCUUAAGAAUUAGUGCUACCAGUAUUACUCAUCUGUCACUUGUCAGCCUCACUGAAAAUGGGAUUUUUAGAAUAACUACUAUGAAUAGCAUGUUAACUUUUCUUACUGUAUUCUCUAAAACCUGUUCCAAAAUUUCUACAGCAUCUGAUAUGGUUUUAUUUCAGUUCUUAAGGAAAAUAGUUAAGAGUUAGCAUUGUGCAUUCAGCCUGGAUUUCAGACAGAUACAAGAAUUAUGGUGAUACUGUAUUUACCAAUAUCUGUUCUAAUCCUUUGUAGCACAGAGGAAACUAUACUUCCCAGCCUGCUUCUUGGUUUUGACCAGUUAAGUGGGAGUAGUAAGUAGUGUAUGUCACUCCCAGACCAGUCACAGCCUGUUUUCUGUACCAUGGCAUCAUAGAUUUAGUGGAGCCACAAGAUCAAAGUGGCCUUGAUUGCUCAGUGCCACAUGAAGGUCAGUCAGCUGGAUCCACAGUGCACUUAAUAUGAUCAAAAGUGGGCUGGGGAUGUGGCUCAAGUGGUAGCGCACUCGCCUAGCAUGAGUGAGGCACUGGGUUUGAUUCUCGGCACCACAUAAAAACAAAGAUAUUGUGUCCACCUAAAACUAAAACGUAAAUAUUUUUUUUAAAAAUUGAUCAAAAAGUAAGCUGAGUAUGGUGAUACAUGCCUGUAAUCCCAGCUACUCAGGAGGUUAAGGCAGAAAGAUCCAAGUUCAAGUCCAGCCUCAGCAACUUAGCAAGACCUUGUUUCAAAAAACUAAAGAGACCUGGGCUGGGUUUGUGGCUCAAUGGUAGAGUGCUCACCUAGCAGGUGCAGGGCCCUGGGUUCAAUCCUUAGCACCACAUAAAAAUAAAAAAAAUAAUAAGAGGUAUUGUAUCCAACCACAACUAAAAAAUAAAACAACUAAAGAGACCUGAAGAUGUAGCUCAGUAGUAAAGCACACCUGGUAUCAAUCCUCAGUACCAAAAAUAAAAUAAUAAACUUUUCAAUAUGUUAAGCCAGAGAUUUGGGUGCCUUUGUUUUUAACCACAGUAGAUCCUAUCCUAUUCUGAGUAAUAGCAUUAGCAACUGACUUUCAUAAUUUU
Molecule: long non-coding RNA, 1996 nt
Filed under: Marmota monax (woodchuck)
Lineage: Eukaryota; Metazoa; Chordata; Mammalia; Rodentia; Sciuridae
Source: RNAcentral